UGCGACUAAUUUCUUGUUUCUAUAAUGGUGGUACAAUAUAAAUCUUGCCAUCUGAAGCACCUUAAAGUUUGUACUAUGGUUAAAAUAAAAACUAUUGGUGGUAUACAAGUUCUAAAGUCUGUUGGUAUAAUUUUUAUGGUUAUAUUUUAGUUCUUUUUUAGGGCCAUUUAUAUCUUGGAUUUGCUUUACGUAUCUUGAUCCGUGUUGAGUAGCAACUCAGGGCUCUAGCACGUUUAAUUCCUCUAUAGUUUUGCAUAUAAAUUUUACUUCCAGAAGUGUUACUUUAUUUCUGACAUUAUUUAAUUUGUGUUAUUGUUUCAAUAUGACGGCCAAAGUGAAAGUGAAUAACAAGUUACGGAUUGUCUAUAACUCGCCUUCAACAAUAGGACAACAGUAGGACCUGCUGCAGAAAACUUAAACAGUGAAUUAUCCUACGAGUACGUUAUACCCAUGUGUAGUAGUCAAAAUACACUCUUAACAAACCAAACAAAAAUAUUGGAGCAACUUAACUCUAUCCAGAAUGUACAAACUACUAUGAUUCAGAAAAUAGCAUCAUUACCCGUUCAAUUAGACCAUGCUAUGGUGCAAAUUAAUAACCUUUCCCAAAACUUACAAGUCACACCAUUGAGCGCAUGCAAAUCUUCACCAAGUAAUACAGCUUUUUACAUCAAGCCAAUUGAAACUGUUCAACAAUUGGAUGAAUUAGAACUGGAAUUGUCAA
This is a long non-coding RNA of Pieris napi, 721 nucleotides long. RefSeq lists it as uncharacterized. The record is from RefSeq and is a predicted model, not a curated record. Lineage: Eukaryota; Metazoa; Arthropoda; Insecta; Lepidoptera; Pieridae. The transcript has 2 exons.